GAUAACCGCUGAAAGCAUCUAAGUGGGAAGCCCACCCCAAGAUGAGUGUUCUGUUUUAAGGUCCCGGCGAGACUAGCCGGUGAUAGGCCCAAGGUGGAAGCUCAGCAAUGAGUGCAGCCGAAGGGUACUAACAGACCGAACCGUUGACCAG
RNAcentral lists this ribosomal RNA (151 nucleotides) under Geminocystis sp. RNAcentral describes it as "partial 23S ribosomal RNA". It matches the Rfam family "Bacterial large subunit ribosomal RNA", at positions 2763 to 2925 of the family's 2925-position model. Lineage: Bacteria; Bacillati; Cyanobacteriota; Cyanophyceae; Chroococcales; Geminocystaceae. The record is from RNAcentral.